UACAAUGGCGGAUUAUCGUGUGUAUUAAUCUUUUGAUUUCUGUUGCCUUCGGAAAUACAUGCCUACAUUUGUUACGAUGGGUAACGAUUUAUUGAUUUCGCUCGCAAAGCAUACAAACGCCACUUCAACACGUCAUAGAUGGUAAACAUAUUCAUUCGUGUAGGUGGAAUGCAAAGAGUUGCCGGUGUCGCAGCACUACUCAAUUCUGCACGUAUCUCGAAGAUUCGUGCGUACUCAACGCAAUUACACGACUGGCCUCGCUUCCUACGGUGGACGCCGUUGCCUCCAUCGGCUCGUUCCCCUGUUUGUCAUACAGCGUGACUGCACAGCGUUGGCAACAAACGGAGCAGCUCCGCUGUAGUUAGGGGGCUGAAAUUCGUCCACUAACACUGUCCAUGACCAACGGAUGGCUGCGCCCUGGCGGUCACGCUCGGGGAUAGGAGAAUCCCAUUGACGGCGCGUCAAGGCUGGAAGGCGACGCUCGUACAAAUACAGAAAGAAUAUAGGACGACCCAGCAGCACAUAAUCCAAACUAGCCACACAUACAGGGUGUCCCAGAAAACGUGUCAUUGAAUUAUAAUUAAAAAA
Molecule: long non-coding RNA, 588 nt
Organism: Ornithodoros turicata
Lineage: Eukaryota; Metazoa; Arthropoda; Arachnida; Ixodida; Argasidae
Exons: 3
Source: RefSeq, a predicted model, not a curated record